CGGCGGACGGGUGAGUAACACGUGGGCAACCUGCCGUCAGUAGAGAGGAAUAGCCUUCCGAAAGGGAGAUUAAUACCUCAUAACAUUGCAGUUUCGCAUGGAACAGCAAUUAAAGGAGCAAGUCCGCUAUGAGAUGGGCCCCGCGGCGUCAGUUAGCUAGUUGGUGAGGUAACGGCUCACCAAGGCGACGAUGCGUAGCCGACCUGAGAGGGUGAUCGGCCACAUUGGGACUGAGACACGGCCCAGACUCCUACGGGAGGCAGCAGUGGGGAAUAUUGCACAAUGGGGGAAACCCUGAUGCAAGCAACGCCGCGUGAGUGAUGACGGCCUUCGGGUUGUAAAGCUCUGUCUUCAGGGACGAUAAUGACGGUACCUGAGGAGGAAGCCACGGCUAACUACGUGCCAGCCGCUGC
This 413-nucleotide ribosomal RNA is filed under the name uncultured bacterium. RNAcentral's name for it is "bacterial SSU rRNA". It matches the Rfam family "Bacterial small subunit ribosomal RNA", at positions 96 to 518 of the family's 1533-position model. The record is from RNAcentral.